AUUGAACGCUGGCGGCAUGCUUUACACAUGCAAGUCGAGCGGCAGCGCGGGGGCAACCCUGGCGGCGAGCGGCGAACGGGUGAGUAAUGCAUCGGAACGUAUCCUCGAGUGGGGGAUAACCCAGCGAAAGUUGGGCUAAUACCGCAUGAGCUCUGAGGAGGAAAGCGGGGGACCUGCGAGGGCCUCGCGCUGGAGGAGCGGCCGAUGUCCGAUUAGCUAGUUGGUGGGGUAAAGGCUUACCAAGGCGACGAUCGGUAGCUGGUCUGAGAGGAUGAUCAGCCACACUGGGACUGAGACACGGCCCAGACUCCUACGGGAGGCAGCAGUGGGGAAUUUUGGACAAUGAGGGCAACCCUGAUCCAGCCAUGCCGCGUGAGUGAAGAAGGCCUUCGGGUUGUAAAGCUCUUUCGGACGGAACGAAAUGGGCGGGACUAAUACUCCUGUCUGAUGACGGUACCGUAAGAAGAAGCACCGGCUAACUACGU
RNAcentral lists this ribosomal RNA (485 nucleotides) under uncultured bacterium. RNAcentral's name for it is "partial 16S ribosomal RNA". It matches the Rfam family "Bacterial small subunit ribosomal RNA", at positions 29 to 506 of the family's 1533-position model. The record is from RNAcentral.